AACGUACUCAGUUCGGAUUGUAGUCUGCAACUCGACUACAUGAAGCUGGAAUCGCUAGUAAUCGCAAAUCAGAAUGUUGCGGUGAAUACGUUCCCGGGUCUUGUACACACCGCCCGUCACACCAUGGGAGGUCGGAAAUGCCCGAAGUCUGUGACCCAACGAAAGAGGGAGCAGCCGAAGGCAGGUCUGAUAACUGGGGUGAAGUCGUAACAAGGUACC
RNAcentral lists this ribosomal RNA (219 nucleotides) under uncultured bacterium. RNAcentral describes it as "partial 16S ribosomal RNA". It matches the Rfam family "Bacterial small subunit ribosomal RNA", at positions 1281 to 1500 of the family's 1533-position model. The record is from RNAcentral.